AUUGAACGCUGGCGGCAGGCCUAACACAUGCAAGUCGAGCGGAUGAAGGGAGCUUGCUCCUGGAUUCAGCGGCGGACGGGUGAGUAAUGCCUAGGAAUCUGCCUGGUAGUGGGGGAUAACGUCCGGAAACGGGCGCUAAUACCGCAUACGUCCUGAGGGAGAAAGUGGGGGAUCUUCGGACCUCACGCUAUCAGAUGAGCCUAGGUCGGAUUAGCUAGUUGGUGGGGUAAAGGCCUACCAAGGCGACGAUCCGUAACUGGUCUGAGAGGAUGAUCAGUCACACGGAAACUGAGACAGGGCCCAAACCCCUAGGGGGGGCAGCGGGGGGGAAUUUGGGAAAAUGGGGAAAAGCCCAAACCAGCCAUGCCGGGUGUGGGAAGAAGGUUUUCGGAUUGUAAAGCCCUUUAAGUUGGGAGAAAGGGCAGUAAGUUAAUACCUUGCUUUUUUGACGUUACCAACAAAAAAAGCACCGGCUAACUUCGU
This 483-nucleotide ribosomal RNA is filed under the name uncultured bacterium. RNAcentral's name for it is "partial 16S ribosomal RNA". It matches the Rfam family "Bacterial small subunit ribosomal RNA", at positions 30 to 506 of the family's 1533-position model. The record is from RNAcentral.